Xenopus laevis (African clawed frog) is the source of this 336-nucleotide long non-coding RNA. RefSeq lists it as uncharacterized. NCBI's taxonomy places the organism in Eukaryota, Metazoa, Chordata, Amphibia, Anura, Pipidae. The transcript is spliced from 3 exons. The record is from RefSeq and is a predicted model, not a curated record.
AUCCCAUAAUGCACUGUUAGGUCUUUACCCACUAUAAGGCUAUUACUGGAAGUGAGGGAGCCUGACUGCUGUUGCGUGUGCUAUUUAGCUGACAAAAAUGUUGGGCAACCAGGCUGUAGACUUUUAUCACUGGCAUGUGGAAAGGGCCUUCAUCUCCCAUGAUGCACUAUAAGGGUUGACCAUAAGAGAUGAAGGAGUAUCACAGAAGGCGACCACUCCAGCAUCAACGGGAGGAAAGGAAAAAAGAAUGAGAUCCUGAUAACCCGGCACAGCUCUCUCCAGAGCCAACUGAGAAUCACUGCAGACAGAUUUCCAGCAUGAGAUGCUCCAGGAGCA